AUUGAUCUAGCAUAAAAAAUGCAAAGAGUUUAAGCCUCUUAGAUAAUAAUUAAA
This 54-nucleotide transfer RNA is filed under the name Tyrophagus longior. Its description in RNAcentral is "tRNA-Leu". The record is from RNAcentral. Lineage: Eukaryota; Metazoa; Arthropoda; Arachnida; Sarcoptiformes; Acaridae.